This 240-nucleotide unclassified non-coding RNA is filed under the name soil metagenome. Its description in RNAcentral is "partial contains 5.8S ribosomal RNA, internal transcribed spacer 2, and large subunit ribosomal RNA". The record is from RNAcentral.
AACGAGGCCGACCUGCGGCUGAGUUACCUGCGGAAGGAUCAUUACAGAGUGUAAAAACUCCCAAAACCCAUGUGAACAUACCUUUUUGUUGCUUCGGCGGGAUCGCCCCGGGCGCCUUGUGUGCCCCGGAGUCAGGCGCCCGCCGGGGGACCCAAACUCUUGUUUUUAACGAGUAUCUUCUGAGUAACGUUUUUAAAUAAAUAAAAACUUUUAACAACGGAUCUCAGAUCGGAAGAGCAC